GAACGCUGGCGGCGUGCCUAAUACAUGCAAGUAGAACGCUGAAGGGAGAGCUUGCUCUUCUGGAUGAGUUGCGAACGGGUGAGUAACGCGUAGGUAACCUGCCUGGUAGCGGGGGAUAACUAUUGGAAACGAUAGCUAAUACCGCAUAAUAGUAGAUGUUGCAUGACAUUUGCUUGAAAGGUGCAAUUGCAUCACUACCAGAUGGACCUGCGUUGUAUUAGCUAGUUGGUGGGGUAACGGCUCACCAAGGCGACGAUACAUAGCCGACCUGAGAGGGUGAUCGGCCACACUGGGACUGAGACACGGCCCAGACUCCUACGGGAGGCAGCAGUAGGGAAUCUUCGGCAAUGGACGGAAGUCUGACCGUGCAACGCCGCGUGAGUGAAGAAGGCUUUCGGAUCGUAAAGCUCUGUUGUAAGAGAAGAACGAGUGUGAGAGUGGAAAGUUCACACUGUGACGGUAUCUUACCAGAAAGGGACGGCUAACUACGUGCCAGCAGCCGCGGUAAU
This 509-nucleotide ribosomal RNA is filed under the name uncultured bacterium. Its description in RNAcentral is "bacterial SSU rRNA". It matches the Rfam family "Bacterial small subunit ribosomal RNA", at positions 31 to 524 of the family's 1533-position model. The record is from RNAcentral.